Molecule: ribosomal RNA, 433 nt
Filed under: uncultured bacterium
Lineage: Bacteria
Description: partial 16S ribosomal RNA
Rfam family: Bacterial small subunit ribosomal RNA
Source: RNAcentral
AACGAACGCUGGCGGCAUGCCUAACACAUGCAAGUCGAACGAGACCUUCGGGUCUAGUGGCGCACGGGUGCGUAACGCGUGGGAACCUGCCCUUAGGUUCGAAAUAACUCCCCGAAAGGGGUGCUAAUACCGGAUAAUGUCUUCGGACCAAAGAUUUAUCGCCUUUGGAUGGGCCCGCGUUGGAUUAGCUAGUUGGUAGGGUAAAAGCCUACCAAGGCGACGAUCCAUAGCUGGUCUGAGAGGAUGAUCAGCCACACUGGGACUGAGACACGGCCCAGACUCCUACGGGAGGCAGCAGUGGGGAAUAUUGGAAAAUGGGCGAAAGCCUGAUCCAGCAAUGCCGCGUGAGUGAUGAAGGCCUUAGGGUUGUAAAGCUCUUUUACCCGGGAUGAUAAUGACAGUACCGGGAGAAUAAGCUCCGGCUAACUCCGUG